Molecule: long non-coding RNA, 288 nt
Organism: Eurytemora carolleeae
Lineage: Eukaryota; Metazoa; Arthropoda; Copepoda; Calanoida; Temoridae
Exons: 2
Source: RefSeq, a predicted model, not a curated record
ACCAGAUGACAGGGGGUUCGGAUAUAUAUCAAGAUCCAGGUAAUAAACCAGAUGACAGGGGGUUCGGAUAUAUCAAGAUCCAGGAAAUAAACCAGAUGACAGGGGGUUCGGAUAUAUCAAGAUCCAGGUAAUAAACCAGAUGACAGGGGGUUCGGAUAUAUCAAGAUCCAGGCAAUAAACCCCACCAACAAUAUUAAUUACUUCAAGUGUCAUCAAACAAAAUAUUUAAAAUGAAACAAUGUUUGCCAAACUUUAAAGAACCAAAAUUUAAAUCCCCAACCCCCCCCC